UACGAGUGCGUCGAGCGUUAUCCGGAAUCAUUGGGCGUAAAGCGCACGUAGGCGGCAUUGCAAGUCGGAUGUGAAAUCUUAUGGCUUAACCAUAAAAGUGCAUCCGAAACUGCAGUGCUUGAGUACUUAAGAGGAUCGCGGAAUUCCCGGUGUAGAGGUGAAAUUCGUAGAUAUCGGGAGGAACACCAGUGGCGAAGGCGGCGAUCUGGGAAGAUACUGACGCUGAGGUGCGAAAGCGUGGGGAGCAAACAGG
This 253-nucleotide ribosomal RNA is filed under the name uncultured bacterium. RNAcentral describes it as "partial 16S ribosomal RNA". It matches the Rfam family "Bacterial small subunit ribosomal RNA", at positions 524 to 776 of the family's 1533-position model. The record is from RNAcentral.